RNAcentral lists this ribosomal RNA (376 nucleotides) under Maxacteon sp. RNAcentral's name for it is "partial large subunit ribosomal RNA". It matches the Rfam family "Bacterial large subunit ribosomal RNA", at positions 1838 to 2596 of the family's 2925-position model. The record is from RNAcentral. Lineage: Eukaryota; Metazoa; Mollusca; Gastropoda; Acteonidae.
UCUUAAUUUAAGAUAUCGCCUGCCCAAUGAUCAAUGGCCGCGGUACUUUGACCGUGCUAAGGUAGCAUAAUCAGUUGACUUUUAAAUGGAGUCUGGAAUGAAUGGCUGGGGAUUAACUGUCUCUAUUUUAUUUUGUUGAAUUUACUUUUAGGGUGAAAAAGCCCUGAUUAAUUUAAAAGACGAGAAGACCCUAGGAAUUUAUAUUUUGUUGGGGCGACAUGGGACUCCUUUUAAAAUUUCUUAUACGUGCCGAGAAGUAAGUAAGAAAAAAUUACCCUAGGGAUAACAGCAUAAUUUAAGUUUGUGACCUCGAUGUUGGACUAGGGCAAGAAUGGGCGAGCUGCUCAUUUUUUUGGUUCUGUUCGAACUAAACCCC